Molecule: ribosomal RNA, 233 nt
Filed under: uncultured bacterium
Lineage: Bacteria
Description: partial 16S ribosomal RNA
Rfam family: Bacterial small subunit ribosomal RNA
Source: RNAcentral
GAUCCUGGCUCAGGACGAACGCUGGCGGCGCGCCUAACACAUGCAAGUCGAACGAGAGAUGAGGAGCUUGCUCUUCAAAUCGAGUGGCGAACGGGUGAGUAACGCGUGAGGAACCUGCCUCAAAGAGGGGGACAACAGUUGGAAACGACUGCUAAUACCGCAUAAGCCCACGGCUCGGCAUCGAGCAGAGGGAAAAGGAGUGAUCCGCUUUGAGAUGGCCUCGCGUCGAUUAG